This 161-nucleotide ribosomal RNA is filed under the name uncultured bacterium. Its description in RNAcentral is "partial 16S ribosomal RNA". It matches the Rfam family "Bacterial small subunit ribosomal RNA", at positions 1326 to 1500 of the family's 1533-position model. The record is from RNAcentral.
CUGGAAUUGCUAGUAAUCACAGGUCAGCAUACUGUGGUGAAUACGUUCCCGGGCCUUGUACACACCGCCCGUCACACCAUGAGAGUUGAGAAUACCCGAAGCCCAUGUCAAAGUGGUCGAAGGUAGGCUUGAUGAUUGGGGUGAAGUCGUAACAAGGUAUC